This 468-nucleotide ribosomal RNA is filed under the name uncultured bacterium. RNAcentral describes it as "partial 16S ribosomal RNA". It matches the Rfam family "Bacterial small subunit ribosomal RNA", at positions 28 to 507 of the family's 1533-position model. The record is from RNAcentral.
GACGAACGCUGGCGGCGUGCUUAACACAUGCAAGUCGAACGGAGAGGCCCUGCCUUUGUGGGGUGCUCGAGUGGCGAACGGGUGAGUAACACGUGAGUAACCUGCCCGUGACUUUGGGAUAACUUCAGGAAACUGGGGCUAAUACCGGAUAGGAGCUCCUGCUGCAUGGUGGUGGUUGGAAAGUUUCGGCGGUUGGGGAUGGACUCGCGGCUUAUCAGCUUGUUGGUGGGGUAGUGGCUUACCAAGGCUUUGACGGGUAGCCGGCCUGAGAGGGUGACCGGCCACAGUGGGACUGAGAUGCGGGCCAGACUGCUACGGGGGGCAGCAGUGGGGGAUAGUGCACACUGGGCGGAAGGCUGGUGCAGCAACGCCGCGUGCGGGAUGACGGCCGUCGGGUUGUAAACCGCGUGCGCCUGUGACGAAGCGUGAGUGACGGUAAUGGGUAAAGAAGCACCGGCUAACUACGUG